This 484-nucleotide ribosomal RNA is filed under the name uncultured bacterium. RNAcentral describes it as "partial 16S ribosomal RNA". It matches the Rfam family "Bacterial small subunit ribosomal RNA", at positions 30 to 507 of the family's 1533-position model. The record is from RNAcentral.
AUUGAACGCUGGCGGCAGGCCUAACACAUGCAAGUCGAGCGGAUGAAGGGAGCUUGCUCCUGGAUUCAGCGGCGGACGGGUGAGUAAUGCCUAGGAAUCUGCCUGGUAGUGGGGGAUAACGUCCGGAAACGGGCGCUAAUACCGCAUACGUCCUGAGGGAGAAAGUGGGGGUUCUUCGGACCUCACGCUAUCAGAUGAGCCUAGGUCGGAUUAGCUAGUUGGUGGGGUAAAGGCCUACCAAGGCGACGAUCCGUAACUGGUCUGAGAGGAUGAUCAGUCACACUGGAACUGAGACACGGUCCAGACUACUACGGGAGGCAGCAGUGGGGAAUAUUGGACAAUGGGCGAAAGCCUGAUCCAGCCAUGCCGCGUGUGUGAAGAAGGUCUUCGGAUUGUAAAGCACUUUAAGUUGGGAGGAAGGGCAGUAAGUUAAUACCUUGCUGUUUUGACGUUACCAACAGAAUAAGCACCGGCUAACUUCGUG